UACGUAGGUGGCAAGCGUUAUCCGGAAUUAUUGGGCGUAAAGAGCGCGCAGGUGGUUGAUUAAGUCUGAUGUGAAAGUCCACGGCUUAACCGUGGAGGGUCAUUGGAAACUGGUCGACUUGAGUGCAGAAGAGGGAAGUGGAAUUCCAUGUGUAGCGGUGAAAUGCGUAGAGAUAUGGAGGAACACCAGUGGCGAAGGCGGCUUCCUGGUCUGUAACUGACACUGAGGCGCGAAAGCGUGGGGAGCAAACAGGAUUAGAUACCCCGGUA
This 269-nucleotide ribosomal RNA is filed under the name uncultured prokaryote. RNAcentral describes it as "partial 16S ribosomal RNA". It matches the Rfam family "Bacterial small subunit ribosomal RNA", at positions 524 to 792 of the family's 1533-position model. The record is from RNAcentral.